AACAGUGUGUCAUAGUGGUUUGAGUGUUUGACUACAACUCUGGUGUCCAGGGUUCGAUUCCCUUCCUGGCUA
This is a non-coding RNA of Phrynosoma platyrhinos (Desert horned lizard), 72 nucleotides long. The record is from the annotation of a GenBank genome assembly. NCBI's taxonomy places the organism in Eukaryota, Metazoa, Chordata, Lepidosauria, Squamata, Phrynosomatidae.